RNAcentral lists this microRNA precursor (102 nucleotides) under Cebus imitator (Panamanian white-faced capuchin). RNAcentral's name for it is "miRNA (ENSCCAG00000017136.1)". The record is from RNAcentral. Lineage: Eukaryota; Metazoa; Chordata; Mammalia; Primates; Cebidae.
CUGCCUCAGACCUAGACACCUCCAGUUCUGGGUUCUCAGAGGCCUAAUCCUCUAUAAACUCAGUUUUCAAACUGUGAGAGAAAUUCUUUGUGUUACUGCUUU